AUAAGUAGAGAAAAAUAAAAUAAAAUUAAGAAACAAUACUAAACUUAUUUGCAUCAUUCUAAAAAGCAAAAAAAUAGCCCUGACGUGAUAUACAAGCGAACAUGCCGAAUCUUUAACGAGCCAAACUCAAACAAGAAUUUAAAAAUAUCUAUAUUAAACAUUAAAAUUAUAGGGGCGCCCCAGUUUCUCUACUUGAUAAACAAGAAGUGUUUCUCUAGUGACAAAUGUGUAAUAAAAACGCCUAGGGAAUUGUAAACAAAUGGUUUUUAAGCUGAAUAAAUGCUGACUGUGAGUUCCAUUGAGGAAGUCACGUGGACUACUGAAGAAGUCGUUACAUGGUGUAACGUUAGCGGCGUUCCAUUUCAGCUUGCCUCCACCUCCACCAACAACAAACACCUCCACCAUCACCUUCCUCUUUCGUCCCCACCGUCACCUCAUCAUCUUCCUCUUUCGUCCCCACCGUCACCCCAUCAUCUUCCUCUUUCGUCCCCACCGUCACCCCAUCAUCUUCCUCUUUCGUCUACACCGGGGACAACCACCAUUAUCGGCGGCGAACAUAAGCGGCUUCGCCGCCAAAAUCAAACGAAAAAACCAAUAAGAAAGGGUAAAAUUUAUGGCAUGGUUAACCCCAAAGGGUAAGGGUUACCUUCCUCCAUUGACGCUGUCAUCGAACUUGAAUAAUUCCUCCAUUGAAGCUGUCAUCGAGUUCGAAUUCCUCCUUUUAGACUCAAUUCCCUCCAUUGAAGCUUAUUCAGUAAUUCAGUAAAGUAAUUCAGAGAAUGGUUUUGGGAUGCUGUUCUGAACAAUGAAGCUGUGCGAGAGAUUAGGGCUUCUUAUCGUGAUGUUUUCUAUGGUAUGUGCAACUUCUGAAUCGAUUCCUCCGAGCUCUGUGGAGAAAUCUGGCUCCUCUAAAGAAAAUUUUAAAAUAUUGAAGUGGAUGUUUGAAAAUGUGAAGAUGAAAUUGUUGGAUAUUCUAGAGGAUAUUUCACAGUUUUUGGGCGAAUUAUUCAAACCUCUUGAUUGUGAGAUAGAAGGAGAGUCUUAUGCUUUCACAGAGAAGCUCAAGUCAACAUUCUUGAUCACGGUGGCAGUGUUGUUGAUAGUGGUAGUUGCUCGCGGACACAUGACUUGAUCAAUUAAUAUUCGUCGACAUUACUCAAUAUGCAUUUUCUGGGAACACUAUGUAUUGGACUUGGUUUUUUGAAUGUUUGGCAUUUAGUUUUGAUGAAUCUUGUAUCAAUUAUACUCCGUAUUGUUUAUGUUUUUGUACCUUUAAAUUGAUAA
Chenopodium quinoa (quinoa) is the source of this 1284-nucleotide long non-coding RNA. RefSeq lists it as uncharacterized. The transcript has 3 exons. NCBI's taxonomy places the organism in Eukaryota, Viridiplantae, Streptophyta, Magnoliopsida, Caryophyllales, Amaranthaceae. The record is from RefSeq and is a predicted model, not a curated record.